This 230-nucleotide long non-coding RNA is filed under the name Lathyrus oleraceus (garden pea). RNAcentral's name for it is "Pisum sativum (pea) long non-coding RNA (PSAT_LNC027862)". Lineage: Eukaryota; Viridiplantae; Streptophyta; Magnoliopsida; Fabales; Fabaceae. The record is from RNAcentral.
ACACAUGCUCGCUAGGAUAUCACAUCCUAUGCAUACGUAUCUCCUUUGGACGAAGGAGAAUCAGAGCAUUCGUAGCUCGGCUAACACGCACACAAACAAACACAGGCAAAGGCAAACGUGGAGCCUGAAUGCCAAUCACUGGACUUACAUCAGCAUCCGAACCAAAACACACACAAGAAGGCAAACGUGGAGCCCGAAUGCCAAUCACUGGACUUACAUCAGCAUCCGAA